Struthio camelus australis is the source of this 1724-nucleotide non-coding RNA. The record is from RefSeq and is a predicted model, not a curated record. NCBI's taxonomy places the organism in Eukaryota, Metazoa, Chordata, Aves, Struthioniformes, Struthionidae.
AAACGGGAGCGAGGGUGCUCGGGGUGGGCUGCAGCUGCGGAGCCUGUACCCCGGCCCCAGCCCUGCCCGCCAGCUCCCCGCGGUGACCGAACGGGAGCGCUUCUCCUCAGGCCUCCUGCUCUGGAGUGAGCAGGACGCGGCUCUACCCCGCAGCGCGCUUCCUUAGCCUUGAGGCUUAGCUCCCAUAUUUAUCUGCACCCGCUGUGAGAGUCAGACCCCCUUUCCUUUAAAAUACACAGUGAUGAUGUUUUUUCUCAUUCUUCUGUUCUGUUUCCAGUUAAAGUGUUAUAGACAUUGUCUUAUUUCCCACGAUUUUUUAUUCUCCGACCUGGCCUCCCCGCACUAUUGCAGAAAUGCUAGUGCUAUACCAACGGACGGCGUAGGACUUCAGAUGGGGAUGAGCGGCACAAUCUCCAGGGGCUUCCGAGAUGUCUUGGGUGUUGCGGCCUGUGCUCCUGUAAAAAGGCAGUGGAAUUGCUUUCUUGCUCUCACUGGCCGGCCGGAAGGAUUCAACAAGCUUUACUCUGAAAUGAAUACACGAUUUUAACACUGGCGUCCACGAAGACUCAACAAAAGACACCUUCAUUACUUCGGAAGGCCUCCGGGUCAGCUACCCCAUUACAGCUCCAGGAGGAGAGGACUGCUUUUGAACGACUCGCGCCUGCUGCGUCGCAUCUGGAGGCAGAGACUCUGCGCGGAGCCGAGCGGUGCCGCCGGGAGAGCGCGUGGGACGGGAGCCGCCGUUGCAGGUCUGGUUGUGGCCGGUUCCCCUCACUUUCGGGGUCAGCCGGGAAACCGUCUCACCCCGGCAGAGAGGGAGGCUGUUAAAAGCUUUGAGGCGCUAUCUUCUUAAGCUUCUCCAGCUCCAUUUUGGCCUUUUUCUCCAGCCACUUGUGCAACGUGGCUGAGCUACAGCUGGCGGGCCAGAGCCUGACACGCCGCCGGUUGGUGACACUUCCCUCCCGUUGCCCUGGGCUGCCGGUCUCCGUUCCUGAGGGAAGCGGGAAGGACACGUUCGCUUUUAUUCCCGUCGCUCCUCAUGACUGAACAAGCCAGGCGCCUUCUGAGCACUGUGCAAAGGGAGUUUAGCUAGGUGGUUUAUCUACCUUGGGUUUUGCCUUUAAGACAUGUUUCGCCUAAGCAUUGAAUAAGUCAUUAUUGUCUCUCGCAAACCUAUGACUCACCAUAUGGUUUUAUCUGCAAGCCCUUUUCCUGAUAGAUCGCGAAGCACACCCAAGCUGAGGAGGUGCUUGUACAGAGGCUUUUACAGAGCCUUUGGGUCUGUCCCCUGUCACUGCAGCAAAAUAAGGCAGGUCCAGACCCAGAGGAGCUGUCGCAAAGCUCGUCUGGCUUAAUGAUUAACACCUCACGCUGCUGCGGGAGUGCUGGGGCAGAGAGACCUCUGGACUCGUGAGCUCCCCGAGAAGAGGAGCCCGCCUCUGGCCUUGCGCCGAGACCCGUCCCUCUACAGGCGCGAGGAUUGGCGGGCAGGUAAUUUGGACGGUUCUGUGGUUGCCUACAACACUAACACUUACCGAGGACCAGCUCCGGCGGGCUUUCACAGACACAGCUGGGCGCUUUGCCUGGCUCUGAAGCCCUCGUUGGGCUUGCAACGUGAUUUUAAUGGAUAAUGAGAGGAAGGAAAAGUAAAGGGGAACGGAGCCUUGUGUGGCUAUGCUGUUUGGUGUGGCAACCUCGCAGAAGUCUCUUCUGUGGUCCCCACC